Molecule: unclassified non-coding RNA, 350 nt
Filed under: plant metagenome
Description: partial contains 5.8S ribosomal RNA, internal transcribed spacer 2, and large subunit ribosomal RNA
Rfam family: 5.8S ribosomal RNA (bases 1-105)
Source: RNAcentral
GAAAUGCGAUAAGUAAUGUGAAUUGCAGAAUUCAGUGAAUCAUCGAAUCUUUGAACGCACCUUGCGCUCCUUGGUAUUCCGAGGAGCAUGUCUGUUUGAGUGUCAUGGAAUUCUCAACUCUAUUUGCUUUUGUGAAUAGAGCUUGGAUUUGGAGGUUUAUUGCUGGUACUUGUGAUCGGCUCCUCUUGAAUGCAUUAGCUCGAACCUUUGCGGAUCAGCUAUCGGUGUGAUAAUUGUCUACGCCGUUGCAGUGAAGCAUAUCAAUGGGCUCGGCUUCCAAUCGUCCUUUACUGGACAAUGACUUUGACCUUUGACCUCAAAUCAGGUAGGAUUACCCGCUGAACUUAAGC